This 249-nucleotide ribosomal RNA is filed under the name Enterobacillus tribolii. Its description in RNAcentral is "partial 16S ribosomal RNA". It matches the Rfam family "Bacterial small subunit ribosomal RNA", at positions 1 to 245 of the family's 1533-position model. The record is from RNAcentral. Lineage: Bacteria; Pseudomonadati; Pseudomonadota; Gammaproteobacteria; Enterobacterales; Hafniaceae.
UUAAUUGAAGAGUUUGAUCAUGGCUCAGAUUGAACGCUGGCGGCAGGCCUAACACAUGCAAGUCGAGCGGCAGCGGGGGGAAGCUUGCUUCCCCGCCGGCGAGCGGCGGACGGGUGAGUAAUGUCUGGGAAACUGCCUGAUGGAGGGGGAUAACCACUGGAAACGGUGGCUAAUACCGCAUAACGUCGCAAGACCAAAGAGGGGGACCUUCGGGCCUCUUGCCAUCAGAUGUGCCCAGAUGGGAUUAGC